GUUAGCGCGGUGGGGGUGGUGGUGGGAAUACGGAGGAUGGGAGCGUUAGCCGGGAUCAUUGGGUUGAAAGGGUCCGUGAGCGGGCGUAUAAGUCAGUGGUGAAAUCUCCCAGCUCAACUGGGAAACUGCCAUUGAUACUGUAGGUCUUGAAUAUGUGUGAAGUAACUAGAAUAUGUAGUGUAGCGGUGAAAUGCUUAGAUAUUACAUGGAAUACCAAUUGCGAAGGCAGGUUACUAACAAAUUAUUGACGCUGAUGGACGCAAGCGUGGGGAGCGAACAGGAUUAGAUACCCCGGUAGUC
Molecule: ribosomal RNA, 300 nt
Filed under: uncultured bacterium
Lineage: Bacteria
Description: bacterial SSU rRNA
Rfam family: Bacterial small subunit ribosomal RNA
Source: RNAcentral